UGUUAUGGCAGCCGUGCGCGGGCAGACUUUAGUCUGGCCGGGUUCCUAGGUCUCCGGUCUCUCACCCCGCGUGCGGCUGCCACCCUA
This is a non-coding RNA of Pseudomonas sp., 87 nucleotides long. The record is from Rfam. NCBI's taxonomy places the organism in Bacteria, Pseudomonadati, Pseudomonadota, Gammaproteobacteria, Pseudomonadales, Pseudomonadaceae.